UGGGGAAUUUUGGACAAUGGGCGAAAGCCUGAUCCAGCCAUGCCGCGUGAGUGAAGAAGGCCUUCGGGUUGUAAAGCUCUUUUAGUCGGAAAGAAAGAGUUGCAAUGAAUAAUUGUGAUUUAUGACGGUACCGACAGAAAAAGCACCGGCUAACUACGUGCCAGCAGCCGCGGUAAUACGUAGGGUGCGAGCGUUAAUCGGAAUUACUGGAAGUAAAGGGUGCGCAGGCGGUCUUGCAAGUCAGAUGUGAAAGCCCCGGGCUUAACCUGGGAAUUGCGUUUGAAACUACAAGACUAGAGUGCAGCAGAGGGGAGUGGAAUUCCAUGUGUAGCAGUGAAAUGCGUAGAGAUGUGGAAGAACACCGGUGGCGAAGGCGGCUCCCUGGGUUGACACUGACGCUCAUGCACGAAAGCGUGGGGAGCAAACA
RNAcentral lists this ribosomal RNA (427 nucleotides) under uncultured beta proteobacterium. RNAcentral describes it as "bacterial SSU rRNA". It matches the Rfam family "Bacterial small subunit ribosomal RNA", at positions 355 to 774 of the family's 1533-position model. The record is from RNAcentral. Lineage: Bacteria; Pseudomonadati; Pseudomonadota; Betaproteobacteria.